UUUCCGGUUGAUCCCGCCGGACCUGACUGCUAUCGGAUUGAUACUAAGCCAUGCGAGUCUUUGUAGUAAUACAAGGCAGACGGCUCAGUAACACGUAGUCAACCUACCCUAUGGACAAGAAUAAUCUCGGGAAACUGGGCAUAAUUCUUGAUAGAUCAUAAUGCCUGGAAUGGUUUAUGGUUAAAAUGAUUCGUCGCCAUAGGAUGGGACUGCGGCCUAUCAGCUUGUUGGUGAGGUAAUGGCCCACCAAGGCGAUUACAGGUACGGGCUCUGAGAGGAGAAGCCCGGAGAUGGGUACUGAGACACGGACCCAGGCCCUAUGGGGCGCAGCAGGCGAGAAAACUUUGCAAUGUGCGAAAGCACGACAAGGUUAAUCCGAGUGAUUUCUGCUAAAGAAAUCUUUUGCCAGUCAUAAAACCACUGGUGAAUAAGGGGUGGGCAAGUUCUGGUGUCAGCCGCCGCGGUAAAACCAGCACCUCAAGUGGUCAGGAUGAUUAUUGGGCCUAAAGCAUCCGUAGCCGGCUUUGUAAGUUUUCGGUUAAAUCCAUGUGCUCAACGCAUGGGCUGCCGAAAAUACUGCAUGGCUAGGGAGUGGGAGAGGUAGACGGUACUCAGUAGGAAGGGGUAAAAUCCUUUGAUCUAUUGAUGACCACCUGUGGCGAAGGCGGUCUACCAGAACACGUUCGACGGUGAGGGAUGAAAGCUGGGGGAGCAAACCGGAUUAGAUACCCGGGUAGUCCCAGCUGUAAACGAUGCAGACUCGAUGAUGCAUUGGCAUAAUAGCCAGUGCAGUGUCGCAGGGAAGCCGUUAAGUCUGCCGCCUGGGAAGUACGUACGCAAGUAUGAAACUUAAAGGAAUUGGCGGGGGAGCACCACAAGGGGUGAAGCCUGCGGUUCAAUUGGAGUCAACGCCGGA
RNAcentral lists this ribosomal RNA (916 nucleotides) under uncultured archaeon. RNAcentral describes it as "SSU rRNA". It matches the Rfam family "Archaeal small subunit ribosomal RNA", at positions 1 to 922 of the family's 1478-position model. The record is from RNAcentral.